GGUCACUAAGUUUUCCAGAGCUUAAUCUUAUUGGGUUAUUUUAAAGCUGCUUGGUAAGCUGGAACUUCAGGUGGGCAUCAUAAACUCAAGUCCAUACUUAAAAUGUCCAGGAGUUCCUGCUGUGGCUCAGUGGUAAUGACCCAACUAGUAUCCAUGAAGAUGCGGGUUCUAUCCCUGGCCUCACUCACGGGGUUAAGGAUCCAGUGACAUUGCUAUGAGCUGAGGUGUAGGUCGCAGGCGCAGUGUAGGUCACAGACAUGGCUCGGAUCUGGCAUUGCUGUGGCUGUGGUGUAGGCUGGUAGCUGCAGUUCCAAUUCAACCCCCAGCCUGGGAACUUCCAUAUGGCGAGGGUGCAGCCCUAAAAAGCAAGCAAACAAACAAGAAUGUCCAGACUCUGGGUGUGAACAGGGUUAUCACACUGUAAAAUGCCUAUCCUAGGCUGCAACUCAGAAAAACAAAAGCUGCUUUUCAAAAAGUUGUUUUUCUCAUCACAAGGGGCAAGAAGAUGAAACUGUUAGCUAUACGAGAAGGUCUGCCUGACCAGACCUGCAAGUUUGACAGCAAGUGGAUGCAGCCACAGCCAACUGGGGGUGGGGUGGUCAGGGCAUGGCCAGAGGCAUAAACACUACCUUCCAACCCUCUCAGCUCAACCUGCAAAAGCCAGAGGGCAAGGGAGCCGGAGCUGAUUGAGGCAGCCUGCAGAGGUCAGCUUCCCAAACAGAGCAGAGCAAGGUUGGACCCAAAGAAGGUACAGAGGCUAUCUCACACAGGUAGCAGGCUGACACAUUUAUUUAAACAGUUCUGUGGGAGUUCCUGUUGUGGCUUAGUAGGCCAAGAACCUAACUAGUAUCAGUGAGGAUGAGGGUUUGAUUCCUGGCCUCACUCAGUGGGUUAAAGAUCUGGCGUUGCUAAGAGCUGUGGUGUAGGUUGCAGACUUGGCUCAGAUUCUGAGUUGCUGUGGCUGUGGCCAAGGUCCAGCUGCAGCUCUGAUUCAACCCUAGCCUGGAAACUUCCAUAUGCUAUAGGUGUGGGAAAAAAAAAAAUGGAGUUCCCUUCGUGGCGCAGUGGUUAACGAAUCCGACUAGGAACCAUGAGGUUGCAGGGAUCGAACCCGAAACCUCAUGGUUCUUAGAUUUGUUAACCACUGAGCCACGACGGGAACUCCUGCUCUCUUGUUUCUUUAACUGUAAAUAUUCCAGCUAAUUUGACUGAGGCAUGAUUAAUGAUCCUUUAAACUUUCAGGUGUUAUUCAUUCCCUUGAAUCUUUGAAGUUGGCUCUUGGCAAAACUGUAAAUGAAAGGUUUGUUUUCUAGGCCCAUCUGCAUGCUUUUUAGAUCUUUUUGGUUCCCUGCUAGCAAUAGCAACUUUAGCCCCAGAGUUCUCUCACCAUGGGAGCAAUGGGCUUGCCAAUCCCAACCUGCUCUCUAAGCCUGUGCCUGCAUUCAAUGGGCAAUUAAAACUCAAUUAUACAGUUCUACUGUUUUCCUCAACAUAAAAGCAAUACAUGCUCAUGUUGUCCAACUUGAGAAUACAGAAAAGCAAAAGAAAAUAAAAAUCUGUUAUAAUCUUGUUAUUCAAAAUCAGAUGCCACUGUUCCUUGUUCCUCUCAAAAGUGUUGUUGGCACUUUUAACGCCACUCAUCUGUGCAUAGUCCCUUUCCUCCCCGACCCUGCUCUGCCUUCCAAGUUCACUCUGUGAGGCAGAGGUAAUGACUGAAUAAGUAAACACUUGAAAGUAUAUUACCUUGAGACCUUAGGCACCUGUUGAGGAAAAAAUACAUAAAUAGUACAUAAUAAAACCAAUUGGGACAUCUGAGGUUGGCUAGUUUACAGUGGAAUUCAUUGGCUCAUAGGACCUGAAUGUAUAGAGGUAGGAUGGGCUGCAGGUGUGGUUUGAUCUAGAGAUUGAAAGAGUCAAAAAGGAAAUGGUUUCUUUCUAACCCCUCUCUCUGCUUUCUCCACAAUGUUCAUCUCUUCCUAAGGUAAGUGCUUCUUGCAGUCAAAAUGGCAGCCUUAUCAGCAGUUUCUAGCACUACUUACUGCCUGGCUCCUGUCUAACAGGAUAUGAGAGCAUCUGUCUGUGACCCAUAAAUUCCUGGGAUCCCUUUUGAUUGGAUCAGCCUGGUUCCUAUGACCACCCCUGAACCAACCCUAGUGGCAAGGAAGAUGAGACAAUUAUGCAUAGUUGAGACUAGUAGGCCUCAAACUCUAGUCUCAGGACUGCUCAUAAAAAUUAAUGAGGAGCCCACAGAAUCUUUUUGAUGGAGAUUUUUAUCUAUUGAUACUUGCCAAAUUAGAAAUUAAAUUCAGGAAUUCCCAUCGUGGCGCAGCGAAAACGAAUCUGACUAGGAACUAUGAGGUUGCAGGUUUGAUCCCUGGCCUCAUUCAGUGGGUUAAGGAUCUGGUAUUGCUGCGAGCUGUGGUGUAGGCUGGCAGCUGUAGCUCCAAUUCAACCCCUAGCCUGGGAACCUCCAUAUGCCGAAAGUGCGGCCCUAAGAAAAAAAAAAGCAAAAACAAAAGAAACCUCCCAACAGACAAAAGUCCAGGAACAGACAGCUUCAUGAGUGAAUUCCACCAAACAUUUCGAGAAAGGUUAACCCUACCUUUCUCAAACUAUUCCAGAAAACAGCAGAGGAAGGAACAUGUCUGAAUACAUUCUGUGAGGCCAGUAUCACCCACCCUGAUACUAAGACCAGAUAAAGAUAGCACCCAAAAAAGAAAAUUACAGACUAACAUCACUGAUGCAAAAAUCAACAAAAUAUUAGCAAACAAAAUUCAAAUCCUACAUUAAUCCCACAUUAAAACGAUCAUACAUUAUGACUAAAUGGGACUUAUCCCAAGGAUGCAAGGAUGGUUCAGUAUCCACAAAUCAACCAAAGUGACACAGAUUAACAAACUAAAGACUGAAAUAGGAGCAUCUCAAUAGAUACAGAAUAAACUUUUGACAAAAGUCAACAUCCAUUUUUGAUGAAAAACUCUCAAUACAGGGGACCAUGCUGCAACAUAUAAAGACCAUGUAUGACAGGCCCGCAGCCAGUAUCAUACUUAAUGGCAAAAGCUGAAAGCAUUUUCUCUAAGAAGGAAGCAUUUUCUCACAGGAAGAAGACAACGAUGCCCACUCUUACCACUUUUAUUCAGCAUAGUGUUGGAAAUCAUAGCCACAGCAAUCAGACAAGAAGAAAUGAAAGAAAUCCCAAUUAGAAAAGAAGUAAAACUGUCACUGUUUUUAGAUGACAUGAUACUAUACAUAGAAAAUCCUAAAGAUGUUACCAAAAAAAAAAAAAAA
RNAcentral lists this long non-coding RNA (3285 nucleotides) under Sus scrofa (pig). RNAcentral describes it as "lncRNA (ENSSSCG00045028327.1)". Lineage: Eukaryota; Metazoa; Chordata; Mammalia; Artiodactyla; Suidae. The record is from RNAcentral.